Molecule: ribosomal RNA, 399 nt
Filed under: Brevibacillus laterosporus
Lineage: Bacteria; Bacillati; Bacillota; Bacilli; Caryophanales; Paenibacillaceae
Description: bacterial SSU rRNA
Rfam family: Bacterial small subunit ribosomal RNA
Source: RNAcentral
UUAAUGGAGAGUUUGAUCCUGGCUCAGGACGAACGCUGGCGGCGUGCCUAAUACAUGCAAGUCGAGCGAGGGUCUUCGGGCCCUAGCGGCGGACGGGUGAGUAACACGUAGGCAACCUGCCUGUAAGACUGGGAUAACAUAGGGAAACUUAUGCUAAUACCGGAUAGGGUUUUGCUUCGCCUGAAGCGAAACGGAAAGAUGGCGCUAGCUAUCACUUACAGAUGGGCCUGCGGCGCAUUAGCUAGUUGGUGAGGUAACGGCUCACCAAGGCAACGAUGCGUAGCCGACCUGAGAGGGUGACCGGCCACACUGGGACUGAGACACGGCCCAGACUCCUACGGGAGGCAGCAGUAGGGAAUUUUCCACAAUGGACGAAAGUCUGAUGGAGCAACGCCGCGU